Molecule: ribosomal RNA, 253 nt
Filed under: uncultured bacterium
Lineage: Bacteria
Description: partial 16S ribosomal RNA
Rfam family: Bacterial small subunit ribosomal RNA
Source: RNAcentral
UACGGGGGGGGCAAGCGUUGGUCGGAAUUACUGGGCGUAAAGGGCUCGUAGGUGGCCAACUAAGUCGGACGUGAAAUCCCUCAGCUUAACUGGGGAACUGCGUCCGAUACUGGAUGGCUUGAGUUUGGGAGAGGGAUGCGGAAUUCCAGGUGUAGCGGUGAAAUGCGUAGAUAUCUGGAGGAACACCGGUGGCGAAGGCGGCAUCCUGGACCAACACUGACACUGAGGAGCGAAAGCCAGGGGAGCAAACGGG